This 497-nucleotide ribosomal RNA is filed under the name uncultured bacterium. RNAcentral's name for it is "partial 16S ribosomal RNA". It matches the Rfam family "Bacterial small subunit ribosomal RNA", at positions 28 to 507 of the family's 1533-position model. The record is from RNAcentral.
GAUGAACACUGGCGGCGUGCCUAAUACAUGCAAGUCGAGCGAACAGACGAGGAGCUUGCUCCUCUGACUUUAGCGGCGAACGGGUGCUUAACAUGUGGAUAACCUACCUAUAAGACUGGGAUAACUUCGGGAAACCGGAGCUAAUACCGGCUAAUAUAUUGAACCGCAUGGUUCAAUAGUGAAAGACGGUUUUACUGUCACUUAUAGAUGGAUCCGCGCCGCAUUAGCUAGUUGGUAAGGUAACGGCUUACCAAGGCAACGAUGCGUAGCCGACCUGAGAGGGUGAUCGGCCACACUGAAACUGAGACACGGUCCAGACACCUACGGGAGGCAGCAGUCGCGAAUCCUCCGCGACGCGCGACAGCCUGACGGAGUAACGCCGGGUGAGUGCGUAUCCUCUCCGGUUCCUCAAACCCUCCUACAGGUGAGAUACUAAUGCAUACGUAUCUCUGCCCUUCUUGACGAUACCUACUCAGAAAGCUACGGCCAACCAUCUG